GGGGAGUGGCAGGUGCCUAAGAAAAUGGAAGGCAAAUGUGAAAAGGGUGAAAGGGGGAAAAUAUCUGUACAUCUGUCCCUCCAAUUGGAUUAUGAUACCAUUCUUUAGGAGCAGAAAACUCUUGUGGCAUGAAGGUGGCUGAAGAUCCCUAUCAUUCCUCUCUUGUGAGGUUUUACAAAAAAAACAUAAAAACUAACUAAUGAAGAGCGAAAGAAACCGAGGAAGAAGACAGAAAAGAUAAAAAGUUCAGAAAGAGAGAAUGAAAAGAAAUAAGAAGAAAGAACCUUCAAUUUUCUUCUGCAGCAAAAAUAAGUUUCUUUAAAACAUUAACUCUUAAUGUAUGAUUAUAAAAAAGACCUCAC
Ahaetulla prasina is the source of this 362-nucleotide long non-coding RNA. RefSeq lists it as uncharacterized. The record is from RefSeq and is a predicted model, not a curated record. Lineage: Eukaryota; Metazoa; Chordata; Lepidosauria; Squamata; Colubridae. The transcript is spliced from 3 exons.